ACAACCUCCUUGAGUGAG
This 18-nucleotide microRNA is filed under the name Drosophila erecta. RNAcentral describes it as "miR-307-RA". The record is from RNAcentral. RNAcentral also lists the same sequence under 2 other names. Lineage: Eukaryota; Metazoa; Arthropoda; Insecta; Diptera; Drosophilidae.